This 254-nucleotide ribosomal RNA is filed under the name uncultured bacterium. RNAcentral's name for it is "partial 16S ribosomal RNA". It matches the Rfam family "Bacterial small subunit ribosomal RNA", at positions 524 to 776 of the family's 1533-position model. The record is from RNAcentral.
CACGUAGGGUGCGAGCGUUGUCCGGAAUUAUUGGGCGUAAAGAGCACGUAGGCGGUGUGUCGCGUCGGCCGUGAAAACCUGCAGCUUAACUGUGGGCUUGCGGUCGAUACGGGCAUCACUGGAGUUCGGCAGGGGAGACUGGAAUUCCUGGUGUAGCGGUGAAAUGCGCAGAUAUCAGGAGGAACACCGGUGGCGAAGGCGGGUCUCUGGGCCAUUACUGACGCUGAGGAGCGAAAGCGUGGGGAGCGAACAGG